CCUACGUGUGGCAGCAGUGGGUAAUAUUGCACAAUGGGGGGAACCCUGAUGCAGCGACGCCGCGUGAGUGAAGGAGUAUUUCGGUAUGUAAAGCUCUAUCAGCAGGGAAGAAAAUGACGGUGCCUGACUAAGAAGCCCCGGCUACCUACGUGCCAGCAGCCGCGGUAAUACGUAGGGGGCAAGCGUUAUCCGGAUUUACUGGGUGUAAAGGGAGCGCAGACGGCUGUGCAAGUCUGGAGUGAAAGGCGGGGGGCCAACCCCCGGACUGCUCUGGAAACUGUAAAGCUGGAGUGCAGGAGAGGUAAGCGGAAUUCGUAGUGUAGCGGUGAAAUGCGUAGAUAUUAGGAGGAACACCAGUGGCGAAGGCGGCUUACUGGACUGCAACUGACGUUGAGGCUCGAAAGCGUGGGGAGCAAACAGGAUUAGAUACCCUGGUAGU
Molecule: ribosomal RNA, 439 nt
Filed under: uncultured bacterium
Lineage: Bacteria
Description: partial 16S ribosomal RNA
Rfam family: Bacterial small subunit ribosomal RNA
Source: RNAcentral